UCAUCAGCUGCAGUGUUACCUUGGGGUGAAGGUGAAACUGCUGCAGGGUUUGAAAUAACUGCUGUAAACUAGCUCAGUGUGAAGGCACCAUGUUGGACGGGCCAUCUGCACCUCCAUCCCUUAGCAGGCUACUGACAUUUUCAUCUUGGAUCCUGUUCAGUAAUAUUAUCAACGAGCCGCCCACAGAGGGUGAGUGACAGAGCCAGCCGUGGACGCCUGACCUCGGACCUGAAGGCUCCCAAACAUCAGGAGAAAAAGAAAACCCUGAAUAAUAACUGGGUUGGAGAGCCAAAAACAGAGAGCAAGGCUGUCAGAGAGAAGCCCAAAACAGUCAACUCCAACUUCUUCUGCUUUUUUGUGAAGGUGUCCCCACAGUCUGAAGAAAAACCAGACAAGCAAACACCCAAACCCAAGGAGCCCAAGUAGUGGCUGCCAGACAGACUGAAGGUCCAGUACUGGAUGGACAGAUACCAGGACCAUAAGGAGAAGAAGGAUGAGAAGAGGAAGCAGAAGGCUGAGGAUCAGUACGCUCGAUGGGCCGCCAUCAAGGCGAGCAGAGCCGGCCAUGCUUCCCGGCAGAACGACUCUUACGCUGGAGGGUUUUCUGCAAACAGAAACAGCAUCCUCAAAUCCUUAUUUUAAUGUUCUUUACUUUGUUUCUGUGUUGUUUUGUGAUUAAGCACAAUAAAAACUGUUGUGCAGUGAAAUCA
Molecule: long non-coding RNA, 710 nt
Organism: Notolabrus celidotus (New Zealand spotty)
Lineage: Eukaryota; Metazoa; Chordata; Actinopteri; Labriformes; Labridae
Exons: 2
Source: RefSeq, a predicted model, not a curated record